This 492-nucleotide ribosomal RNA is filed under the name uncultured bacterium. RNAcentral describes it as "partial 16S ribosomal RNA". It matches the Rfam family "Bacterial small subunit ribosomal RNA", at positions 29 to 507 of the family's 1533-position model. The record is from RNAcentral.
AGUGAACGCUGGCGGUAGGCCUAACACAUGCAAGUCGAACGGCAGCACAGUAAGAGCUUGCUCUUACGGGUGGCGCGUGGCGGACGGGUGAGGAAUACAUCGGAAUCUACUUUUUCGUGGGGGAUAACGUAGGGAAACUUACGCUAAUACCGCAUACGACCUACGGGUUAAAGCAGGUGAUCUUCGGACCUUGCGCGAUUGAAUGAGCCGAUGUCGGAUUAGCUAGUUGGCGGGGUAAAGGCCCACCAAGGCGACGAUCCGUAGCUGGUCUGAGAGGAUGAUCAGCCACACUGGAACUGAGACACGGUCCAGACUCCUACGGGAGGCAGCAGUGGGGAAUAUUGGAGCAUGGGCGCAAGCCUGAUCAAGCCAUACCGCGUGGGUGAAGAAGGCCUUCGGGUUGUAAAGCCCUUUUGUUGGGAAAGAAAAGCAGCAGGUUAAUACCCCGCUGUUCUGACGGUACCCAAAGAAUAAGCACCGGCUAACUUCGUG